AUGAGACCACGUAACCUGAAUGGAAUGGUUGCAGUGAGAGGGAAAUCGGUAAAGGUACCUAGAGAAAUCGCGCUGACGAAGAUCAUGGAGGACAAUAUGAAGAUGAUAAAUGAUGCCCGCCCUAGCCAAUUGACCAAUUUCCUUGCGACCCGCUGGCCAACAAUCGCGGCAACAAAUGUCAGGCUAGUGAAGAAGAGAGCUGCACAAAUUUCAGACAAAAAUAGUAAGAUAGCAGUGCAUGAUCACUACCCCCAUAGGAGAAACAGAGAAAGAGACAGUACCGUACGGUACAGGGAACCGUUUCAGGAGGUAGUAUUCCACGGCCGCCAUGGAAGAUGA
Molecule: ribosomal RNA, 339 nt
Filed under: Triticum aestivum (bread wheat)
Lineage: Eukaryota; Viridiplantae; Streptophyta; Magnoliopsida; Poales; Poaceae
Description: partial small subunit ribosomal RNA
Source: RNAcentral